This 675-nucleotide long non-coding RNA is filed under the name Homo sapiens (human). Its description in RNAcentral is "HSALNT0081105". Lineage: Eukaryota; Metazoa; Chordata; Mammalia; Primates; Hominidae. The record is from RNAcentral.
GUGCCUUUAAAUUACGUAUUUGUGGAUUUGACCUAUUGAGAUAUAUCAAUAUUCCUAUGCAUAUAUACAUAUUUGCCCAAUAAAUCUUUUGAUAAACAAAGAAGGGUAGUAUAAUUCUUAGAAAACAGUGGUUUCUGCUAUUGAGCUAUUUGCUUUAGAUUUGAUGUGUCUAUAAAUGGCUAUACAAAAUAUGUUUUAAGUAGUGAUAAUAGAUUAGAUAUUAAGCAACUGAAUGUGGCAGCUAGGACUAAGGUAUAUUACCAAGUUUUUAUCUUCAUUGAACAAAUCAUAGAAGAAAGUGGGGAAUUCAUUUCAUACCUUUCUCUGUAUAUACUCCAUAUUGAUUUAACUACUUAAAUCAUCUCAUGGGUAUAUAACUCUUAUUUCAUCUAUAUCUUUUUUUCCCUGACUCCUCUGAUAGCUUAGGAGAGAAGAAAGGUAUGUUCAGAGGCAUAUGCAAAGACCUGCCAGAACACUCACAAAUGGGGUGAUGAGAGUAACGGGGUAGUGAGAAGCAUUAAUUUUGUAUAGAAGUCAGAUAUACAAGCAUUAAAAUAUAUGCCUAUUAUAACCACUUAAAUUAUGGUUCAUUUUGAUAGAAAAAAAUUCUGCUGAAAAUCUAAUUUCAGGCAGUUGUUCACCAAGCAGAAUCAUAGUAACUAUCUUAUCUGUGCU